Molecule: long non-coding RNA, 442 nt
Organism: Drosophila navojoa
Lineage: Eukaryota; Metazoa; Arthropoda; Insecta; Diptera; Drosophilidae
Source: RefSeq, a predicted model, not a curated record
AGCUAUCAAUUUUUCAACAAAUUUAGAAUCAAAUAUGAUUUAUUAGUGGUUUAGCAUUUAAAUAUUAUAUAAAACUGACGAAGCGUGUGUAUUAAUGAUUGUGUUGUUUAAGGAGCAAAAACGAAAGUAGGAGAGACGUAGCGAGAAAGCUAGAGAGAGAGAGAGAAAGAGAGAACGCGAAAAAGUAGAAGGGAGCGUUUCUCCCCUACACUUUGUAAUUAUUGUAUACCAGACCAGACCAACAGGAACAACAAACAAAAUUAAGAACAACAAACAAACAACAAUGUGUGCGGCCGCCAGAGGUCGCUUUUAACAGACUUUCCAAAGAUGACAAAUACCUCAAACGCGAAGGCAGCAGCAACAACAACAACAACAACAGCAACAAUUAGAAAUGAAGACAGCAACAAUCAGAUAAAAACCUUAAACUAAAUAACAAAGAAAC